AGAGCGGGAGGGGGAGGGGCGAGAACAGAGGGAGGACAUUGCGGAAGGACUCAUAUCUGGUCCUACCAGUUGUGGACAUGCAAAUAGAUCACAGAAAAGUGGCAGAUAUGCUUAUUGCAACAGAUGAGCAGAAUCUGUGACAGUGAAGGUCUGACAAUCAAACCGGGACUGGCACUUUCAGUUUUAGCGCAUGUCAGAGGAGCUGGUGAGCCCAAUGGAUGUUGAAGGAAGGUCAGCGAGCCCCUGGUAGGCAAAUGAAAUGUUGCAAAGAAAGACAUCAAAAUCAGCCUGAAGAAAUUCAACAUCACAUCUAAAAACUGAGAAGACAUUACACUCCAUAGAUACACCUGGAGGAAAUCUGCUCAAGCCCGAGCUUUGCUACUGGAGAUUGACCUCUGCUGUGCUGCAGAGAACAAGUGGCAGCUCCAAAUACAGGGACUGAAUAACUAAAAGACCCAAUCACUAACCACAGCCACACACUGUUGCCCACACUGUACCAGAAUAUAUGGGUCCCUGAUCAGCCUCUGCACCCACCUGAGGACUCACCUAUAGACAACUCCUUAGGAGAACAUCGUACUUGACUUGAGUGAUGGCACUACCUCAAAAGUGGUGGAAGAACUCCUAUACCUCCUCCCUGCGGGCAGCAAUGAGAAGAGGAUAUGUCUUGAGUGAUGGAGGUCAACCUUUUGAGGCAUUGCCUUUUGAAGAUGUCCUGGAUCCUGGGGAGGCUAGUGCCCAUGAUGGAGCUGGCUGAGUUUAUAACUUUCUGCAGCUUUUCCCGAUCUUGUGCAGUGGCCCCUCCCUAUCAGAGGGUGAUGCAACCAGUUAGAGUGCUCUGCACGAUAACCUAGAAAUUUGCAAGUGUCUUUGGUGACAUUGCAAUACUCUUCAAACUCCUAAUGAAAUAUAGCCGCUGUUGUGUCUUCUUUGUAAUUGCAUCAAUAUGUUGGGCCCAGGAUAGAUAUUGACACCCAGGAAUUUGAAACUGCUCACCUUUUCCACUUCUGAUUCAUUGAUGAGAACUGAUGUGCAUUCCUUCGACUACCCCUUCCUGAAGUCUACAAUAAAUUCCUUAGUCUUAAUGAUGUUGAAUACAAGGUUGUUGCUGCAAUUACACUCAUCCAGCUGAUCUGUCUUGCUCCUGUAUGUCUUCUUGUCACCAUCUGAAAUUCUGCCAACAAUAGUUGUGUUGUUGGCAUAUUUAUAGAUGGCAUUUGAGGUGUGCUGACCCACACAAUCACACAAUUUUGGGUGUUGAGUGAGUAGAGCAGUGAGAUAAGCAUGCAUCCUUGAGAUGCACUAGUACUGAUUUUCAGCGAGGAGGAGAUGUUAUUUCCAAUCCACACAGACUGACAAGGAUCUAGUUGCAGAAAGAGGUCCAGAGGCCCAUGUUUUGGAGCUUGCGGAUGAGAACUGAGGAUAUGAUUGUCGCUCUUUUAAAGCAUGUGGGAGCCUGCGACUGCAGCAAUGAGAGAUUGAACAUGUCCUUGAACAGUCCUGACAGUUGGUUGGCAGAGUUUUCAAAGCCCUAACAGGUAGACCAUCAGGUCCUGACACCUUGCGAAGGUUGACCCUCUUGGAAGGCAUUCUGAUGUCGGCCUCUGGGACAGAGAUCACAGGGUCACCAGUGCUGCAGGGAUCCUUGAAGCUGUAGUUUAAUUCUCCCAUUGAAAAUUAGCAUAAAAAGCAUUGAGUUCAUCUGGGAGUGAAGCGUCACAGCCAUUCAUGAUGGUAUAUUUCACUUGUAGGAAGUAAUGGCCUGCAAACCCUGCCAAAGCUGACAUACAUCCAUGAUGCACCAUCAAUAACUCACUCUGAGACGUAAAGGCGAGAUAUCGGCUUUUAUUGACUGGAAGAAGGAACCAGCAGUGAGUGACCACCAUACUACAUCCUGGAGACUGAGAGGCCGGGCCCAGGCUCUGAUCGCCUUUAUACAGGGGUCUGUGGGAGGAGCCACAGGAGCAGUCAGCAGGGGGCGUGUCCAGACAGGCACACGUAGUUCACCACAAUCCAAUUCCGUCUCUAACCUCAUAAGAAUUGUUUUUUUUUCCACCCUUAAGCUAGCCUUUUGUAAGUCGUACCCAGAAUUCUUGUUUAGUUCUAGAUCAUCAUCUUGAUUGCCACAGAUCUAGCCCGCAGCAGACAACAGAUCUCCUGGUUUGUCCAUGGCUUUUUGUUUUGUGUAUGUCUGGUAUGUUCUCAAAAGCACGCACUCAUCUAUACAGGUCUUGGUGAAAUCAAUGACAACUGUAGCAUAUUCAUUCAGAUUUGAAGACAAAUCCUUGAAUAUUUUCCAGUCCACUGAGUGAAAACAGUGCUGUAGGCUCUCCUCUGCCUCCCUUGACCAACCUUGGCCCUCAUCACUGGUGCCGUUGGUUUUCAGUCUCUGCCUAUACACUGGGAGUAGAGUAUAACCAGGUGAGUGGACUUUCCAAAGGGUGGCUGUGGGAUGGCACAGUAAACAUUCUUCAUUGCUGGACAACAGUCGUCAAGCGUGUUGGCUUUGGUUCCACAGAUGGGAUGUUGCUGGUCAUUGUUCAGAAACUUCUUCAAGAUGGCCCGGUUGAAAUCUCCUGCAAUGACAGGGAAAGGCAUCAGCGUGUGCAGUUCCGUGCUUGCAGAUUACGUUGCUCAGCACCUGCAGUGCCGGACUGAUCUUGGCCUGAGAUGAAAUGAACACCACUACCAGGAUGAUGGCAGAAAACUUCCUCAGCAGAUGAAGUGGAAAGCAUUUGACUGCUAGGUGGUUCAGGUCGGAUAAGACAGAAUCAUGAUGAAUUAAUCGUAAAGCAUGCUCCACCUCCUCUGUGUUUAAAAGAUUGAGCAGUCCUGUCUUUGCAGAGAAUGCUGUAGCCGUUGGGCUGCAUUGUUGCACCCAAAAUUACUGCUGUGAGCUAUGUCCCUGAUGUCCGUCUUGUACAACUCUGAGGUCUUCAAUUUUAUUUGCCAGCCAGACAGUCAGGAGUGGAAAUCUAAAGCUUCUUUGUUUCAAUUGUACUUGUAGAUUGGAGUGGCAGCUCUGCUUUCGUUUUCUUAAAGGGGAACUGCAAUCGCCUCUCAAGUCUACAGUCCAAGGUUCAUCGAUUUUGACCAUCAAUAGAGUUUUUAAACAUCUUAAAACAAUGCAGCUUACUGAAGUACUAAUGGCUGUGACUGGGAUUUCAGCUGUGGUAAUCUUAAACUGGAAUACUUGAUGAUGCCCAUCAGAGCUGCACACAGAGUUGCCACUUAGUGACAUCGUCGUAUUGAGAGGCUUCUUCCCCCAGCCUGGCCCCUCCCUCUCCAGUUGUUCAAAAGUUCAAAGUACAUUUUAUUAUCAAAGUACAUAAAUUACACCAUAUACAACUCAGAGAUUCAUUUUUCCCUGUGUGCAUACUCAGCAAAUCUAUAGAAUAGUAACUCUAACAAGAUCAAUGAAAGAUCAACUAAAGUGUAGAAGACAACAAACUGUGCAAAUGCAGAUAUAGAUAAAUAGCAAGAAUGUGAGAUAAGAAGAUAAAGAGUCCUUAAAGUGAGAUCAUUGGUUGUGGGGACAUCUCAAUGGAUGGGCAAGUGAGUGUAGUUAUUCCCUUUGUUCAAGAGCUUGAUGGUUGCGGGAUAGUAACUGUCUUGAACCUGGUGGUGUGAGCCCUGAGGCCCUUGUACCAAGAAAAGAGCAUGGCCUGGGUGGUGAGCAUCUCUGGUGAUGGAUGUCUCUUUCCUAUGACAGCUCAAUGCUUGGAAGGGCUUUACCUGUGGUCAGUAGUUGGAAGGGCUUUACCCAUGAUGUAGUGGGCCAAAUCAACUACCUUUUGUUGGAUUUUCCAUUCAAAGGCAUUGGUGUUUCCAUACAAGGCCGCGAUGCAAUCAGUCAAUACUGUCUCCACGGCACUUCUAUAGAGGUUUCAGAUAUCAUGCCAAAUCUCCGCAGACUCCCAAGGCAGUAGAGAUAUGCUUUCAUCACAAUUGUACUUAGGUGCUGGGUCCAGAGCAGAUCCUCUUAAAUAGAAUAACCCAGAAAUUUGAAGUUGCUAACCGCUCUCCUGGGCUCAAUGGCAUUCAACAACAGCAACAAUCCCCUCUGCAUCUCUGAUCGUCUAAUGAGAACUGGCUCAUGAACCUCUUGUUCCUUCUCUUGACUCUGCAAUCAAUUCCUUAGUCUUGCUGCCAUUGUGUGAGUUUGUUGUUAUGACACCACUCAGCCAAAUUUUCAAUCUUCCUCAUGUAUGCUGUUUCAUCACCACCUUUGAUUCAGCCCAAAGCAGUGAUGUCAUCUGCAAAUUUGAAUAUGGCAUUGGAUCUGUGCUAAGCCACACAGUCAUAGGUGUAAAGCAAGUAGAGCAGGAGGCUAGGCACACAUUCCUGUGAUGCACCUGUGCUGAUGGAAAUCGUAGAGGAGAUGUUGUUGCCAAUCCAAACUGCCUGGGGUCUACAAGUGAGGAAAUCCAGGAUCCAAUCGCACAAGGAGCUAUUGAGGCCAAGGUGUUGGAGUUUAUUGAUUAGUUUUGAGGGGAUAAUGAUAUUAAAUACUGAGCUGAUGUCAAUAAAGAGCACACUUCAGGGCCAGAAAAACCCUAAAUUAAAAAACCCUAAACCCUUUCUUCCCACUUUUGUGUUGGAAUGUGAUGGUCAUGAAAUCUUGGCCAACAUUUCAAUGGAAUACUGCAGAAGUGCUGCACCGUCAGACCUACACCUGUUGGAUGAAAUGUGAAAUCUGCGCAUUUGGAAGGAGAAGUGUAAAGAAAAGAUGAGUUUUUUUGUGUGUGCUUGUGAGCUUUCAAUCAACAGUAUCAAAAGCAGAGUGUUUGUACAUUCAGAGCGUUACUGUUUGUGAGAGCUUGGGAUGCAUAUAUUAGACACCCAUCUGUCUGCAAAACAGUUGUUCUACUUCAAAAGAUAAUUCAAUGUCUCUGAAGUACUUUAAGGAUAUCUAGGAAGCUGAGAGGCUGCAUAUAAGUGUAGGUAGUGCUUCUUGACUCAGAUUUCUUUAAAUAAAUGCAUAGUUAUGUGGAGCACAUAAUUUAGUAAUUUUGAGCUUAUGUUGUUUAUUUCCUUUGCAGUGCUCUGUUGAGGAGAAUAUGAUUUUGAUUUUUAGCUGAUAUUGCAAGGUCAUAUGUUUAGUAUAUAAAACAUUAAAUAAGUAAAAGGAAUUAGGGAGACGUAGAAGUGACGGAAACAUUUGUGAUUAUUGACUUCCUCCUUUAUAAUCCUCUGGAGUUCUAGAUUGGCAAUGAAAAAUGCACCUAAAUUAGGCAAUUAAUAUUAAUUUGUCAACUGAAGGUAUUACUUGGCACUGUGGAUGAGACUAAAGCAAAAUGCUGAAUACAGGCUUCAGUACCUAUUAUUCCUACUCUGGAUAAAUGAGCUUCUUAUAUUCAAAUAAUUCAUAUUCAGCACAUUUCACUAUUUUUACUUAUCUUCCAUAGGCUUGGGAUAAUUACCUGCUGUAACAGGAUGCAUUUUAAAGACUAAAAAUCACUUAUCAAAUCUAUCAAUAAAAUUAACAAACAUGUCAUUUUUGGGAAAGCAGAGAGGAGUGGAUGAAAUCUGAAGAGUACACUCAAUUUUCUGCCGAUCUGACAGCUCAAAAAUGAUAUUGAUUAUACCUUGCAAAGAUUUCUGUUGCAUAAAUACAUGCUGUGU
This is a long non-coding RNA of Hypanus sabinus (Atlantic stingray), 5622 nucleotides long. RefSeq lists it as uncharacterized. The transcript has 4 exons. Lineage: Eukaryota; Metazoa; Chordata; Chondrichthyes; Myliobatiformes; Dasyatidae. The record is from RefSeq and is a predicted model, not a curated record.